RNAcentral lists this transfer RNA (82 nucleotides) under Dryobates pubescens (Downy woodpecker). RNAcentral's name for it is "Picoides pubescens (downy woodpecker) tRNA". It matches the Rfam family "tRNA". Rfam says of the family: Transfer RNA (tRNA) molecules are approximately 80 nucleotides in length. Their secondary structure includes four short double-helical elements and three loops (D, anti-codon, and T loops). The record is from Rfam by way of RNAcentral. Lineage: Eukaryota; Metazoa; Chordata; Aves; Piciformes; Picidae.
ACAGGUGUGGCCAAGUGAUGAAGGCGAUGGACUAGAAAUCCAUUGGGGUUUCCCCGCGCAGGUUCGAAUUCUGCCAACUACG